GCAAUAAUAAAAAAGACGCCAUUCGGCUACACCCGAAAUGAAAGGUAGAUUUCAUAGAAUGAAUCAUCAUCUUGUCUCAAUAACUUUCGUUUGAUAUGGAAUGAAAUUUAUUUUAACAUACAUAAGUAAUAUGAAAAAAUGGU
Long non-coding RNA from Cotesia glomerata, 143 nucleotides. RefSeq lists it as uncharacterized. NCBI's taxonomy places the organism in Eukaryota, Metazoa, Arthropoda, Insecta, Hymenoptera, Braconidae. The record is from RefSeq and is a predicted model, not a curated record. The transcript has 3 exons.